AGUGAACGCUGGCGGCGUGCUUAACACAUGCAAGUCGAACGAGAACGGAAUAUAGCUUGCUAUAUUUGUCAGCUAAGUGGCGCACGGGUGAGUAAUGUAUAGAUAACCUGCCCUUAAGAAAGGAAUAACAGUUGGAAGCGACUGCUAAUGCCCUAUGUGCCUUUAAUACAUAAGUAUGCAAGGGAAACGCUUUAGUGCUUAAGGAUGGGUCUGUAUGGUAUCAGCUUGUUGGUGAGGUAAUGGCUCACCAAGGCUAUGACGCCUAACUGGUUUGAGAGGAUGAUCAGUCACACUGGAACUGAGACACGGUCCAGACUCCUACGGGAGGCAGCAGUGGGGAAUAUUGCACAAUGGACGAAAGUCUGAUGCAGCAACGCCGCGUGGAGGAUGACACAUUUCGGUGCGUAAACUCCUUUUAUAUAGGAAGAUAAUGACGGUACUAUAUGAAUAAGCACCGGCUAACUCCGUGCCAGCAGCCGCGGUAA
This 485-nucleotide ribosomal RNA is filed under the name uncultured bacterium. RNAcentral describes it as "partial 16S ribosomal RNA". It matches the Rfam family "Bacterial small subunit ribosomal RNA", at positions 29 to 523 of the family's 1533-position model. The record is from RNAcentral.